Molecule: transfer RNA, 83 nt
Filed under: bovine gut metagenome
Rfam family: tRNA
About the family: Transfer RNA (tRNA) molecules are approximately 80 nucleotides in length. Their secondary structure includes four short double-helical elements and three loops (D, anti-codon, and T loops). Further hydrogen bonds mediate the characteristic L-shaped molecular structure. tRNAs have two regions of fundamental functional importance: the anti-codon, which is responsible for specific mRNA codon recognition, and the 3' end, to which the tRNAs corresponding amino acid is attached (by aminoacyl-tRNA synthetases). tRNAs cope with the degeneracy of the genetic code in two manners: having more than one tRNA (with a specific anti-codon) for a particular amino acid; and 'wobble' base-pairing, i.e. permitting non-standard base-pairing at the 3rd anti-codon position.
Source: RNAcentral
GAGAGGUGGCGGAGUGGUCGAUCGCGGCGGUCUUGAAAACCGUUGUCCCGCAAGGGACCGGGGGUUCGAAUCCCUCCCUCUCC